Molecule: ribosomal RNA, 364 nt
Filed under: uncultured bacterium
Lineage: Bacteria
Description: bacterial SSU rRNA
Rfam family: Bacterial small subunit ribosomal RNA
Source: RNAcentral
UAGCCCAGAGAAAUUUGGAUUAAUACCCCAUAGUAUAUUGGAGUGGCAUCACUUUAGUAUUAAAGAUUUAUCACUUGAAGAUGGCUGUGCGGCUGAUUAGGUAGUUGGCGGGUAACGGCCCACCAAGCCCUGCGAUCAGUAACUGGUGUGAGAGCACGACCAGUCACACGGGCACUGAGACACGGGCCCGACUCCUACGGGAGGCAGCAGUAAGGAAUAUUGGUCAAUGGACGAAAGUCUGAACCAGCCAUGCCGCGUGGAGGAUGAAGGUCCUCUGGAUUGUAAACUUCUUUUAUAUGGGACGAAAAAGGGCUUUCUAGCUCGUCUGACGGUACCAUAUGAAUAAGCACCGGCUAACUCCGUG